GAUGGAAGCUGGCGGCGUGCCUAACACAUGCAAGUCGAACGGAGAAUUUACGCUGAUGAAGCUUCGGCAGAUUCUUGUAAAUUCUUAGUGGCGGACGGGUGAGUAACGCGUGGGCAACCUGCCUCAUACUGGGGGAUAACAGCUGGAAACGACUGUUAAUACCGCAUAAGCGCACGGUAUCGCAUGAUACAGUGUGAAAAACUCCGGUGGUAUGAGAUGGGCCCGCGUCAGAUUAGCCAGUUGGCAGGGUAACGGCCUACCAAAGCGACGAUCUGUAGCCGGCCUGAGAGGGCGGACGGCCACAUUGGGACUGAGACACGGCCCAAACUCCUACGGGAGGCAGCAGUGGGGGAUAUUGCACAAUGGAGGAAACUCUGAUGCAGCGACGCCGCGUGAGUGAAGAAGUAUUUCGGUAUGUAAAGCUUCUAUCAGCAGGGAAGAAAGAACUCGUAAGAGAGAUGACGG
This 465-nucleotide ribosomal RNA is filed under the name bacterium WCD2007. RNAcentral's name for it is "bacterial SSU rRNA". It matches the Rfam family "Bacterial small subunit ribosomal RNA", at positions 28 to 475 of the family's 1533-position model. The record is from RNAcentral.